UUUCACGAAGUGACGGAUAAGCAGCCGCCAAUACGUGAAAACAAACGAAUACGCUUUGCACUCAAGAGUUUUUUCACGAAGUGACGGAAGGCAAAUGUUUACAGUUUGGAACAGCCGAAGACCAUGAAAUGAUGCAGUAUAUACAAUAAGCGAUGUUUCAGAGAACAAAUGAGAGAAGUCCUGGAACUGGUACACCUGCUAUUUAACAAUGCUGAUGGUCAGAUACAAUUCCAGGUUAGAUCCAGGGGCCGACACGCUUGUCAGAUGGGUCAUUGAUGAUUCCCUGAACAUCGCAGAUAUGAUCUGAUUUGGUGACAUGACAGUGGAAUUGGUAGUGACUGGAUUUUUAUAGUGUGCCCUGGUUUUGAACUAUUGAAGUAACCAAACUAGAAACAUCUUCUGAGAACUCUGACUGCAAUUCUAAUGAUGAAACUCUGUCUACACUUGUGAAAAUGUGAAGGAGUUGGCUCUACCUCGUGGCCUUUCAGGUUCAGUGCUCUCAUCUAACUUUUUCUUUUUCCAGCUGGGUAACUGAUACCAAUUUUAAUUUUCUUGAGAUUUUGACUUCAACAUAAGUUUAGUUUUAAUUUUGAUAGGACUUUCAAAUCUGGUUUCAUUUUUAGAGCAGUGUAUUAUAUAAAGAAACUAUACUGCUU
Lytechinus variegatus (green sea urchin) is the source of this 656-nucleotide long non-coding RNA. RefSeq lists it as uncharacterized. The transcript is spliced from 3 exons. The record is from RefSeq and is a predicted model, not a curated record. Lineage: Eukaryota; Metazoa; Echinodermata; Echinoidea; Temnopleuroida; Toxopneustidae.